Molecule: ribosomal RNA, 464 nt
Filed under: uncultured bacterium
Lineage: Bacteria
Description: partial 16S ribosomal RNA
Rfam family: Bacterial small subunit ribosomal RNA
Source: RNAcentral
CCUACGGGGGGCAGCAGUAGGGAAUUUUCGUCAAUGGGCGCAAGCCUGAACGAGCAAUGCCGCGUGAACGAGGAAGGUCUUCGGAUCGUAAAGUUCUGUUGAAGGGGAAAAAGAGCGGAGAGAGGAAAUGGUCUCCGAUUGAUAUUACCCUUCGAGGAAGUCACGGCUAACUACGUGCCAGCAGCCGCGGUAAUACGUGGGUGGCGAGCGUUAUCCGGAAUGAUUGGGCGUAAAGGGUGCGUAGGCGGCCUGCUAGGUAUGGAGUGAAAGGUACCGGCUCAACCGGGAUAGGCUCUGGAAACUGGCGGGCUAGAGAGCAGGAGAGGGCGGUGGAACUCCAUGUGUAGCGGUAAAAUGCGUAGAUAUAUGGAAGAACACCAGUGGCGAAGGCGGCCGCCUGGCCUGUUACUGACGCUGAGGCACGAAAGCGUGGGGAGCAAAUAGGAUUAGAUACCCCAGUAGUC